UUCAGAUCUGUUUUAUUUUGUUUCCUUUCAUGUUCCUCGUGUUUCUUUUCAGAAGCUGUAAUAAAUCUAUCCAAGGCUUCUUCCCAACUUGCUUUCCGCUCUGGUUGUUGUGUCUGAUUUUGAAACCCGGAAUUGUUUUGUUGUCUCGGGGCUUGAGCUUGAGCUUGAUUGUUACUCCAUGAAAAAUCCGGGUGAUACCCCCAAUCAUGAUGAUAGUUGUUGGGAUAGACAUAAUUAUUGGGGUAAUC
This 248-nucleotide long non-coding RNA is filed under the name Panax ginseng (ginseng). RNAcentral describes it as "long non-coding RNA (PGIN_LNC008861)". Lineage: Eukaryota; Viridiplantae; Streptophyta; Magnoliopsida; Apiales; Araliaceae. The record is from RNAcentral.